GGAAAAACACAGGCAUUAUGAUGUAACCUCAGGCUACUACUGGCCUUCUUUCUGAUGGCGAUGUGUCAGAAGGAUUAUCUGCUUCCAGACUGCUGUUCACCACAGGUAACGGAAAGCACGGAAAGUGAAACCAUGGAUCAAGGGAGAUUACUGUAAUGCUAUAGCAAGCCUCUUCUGGAAGAACUGGAAACCACCUGAAGUUCACAUCUUGGCAACCUGAUGCAACACAAUUUUAGCACAUAAGGAUAAAGGAGACCAAAGGCAGAGAAGCUGUAGAGAGCUCGCCUGUGCCGGAGGAUCCUCACUCACAUUAAGGAGCCUAGAGUUCCAGACGUUUUGUAUUCUAUUCCCUCCUCGUGGUCCACCUGGCAGACCCACAACCCCGUGCCCAGCAGCACAGCAACCAGCUCCCAGGCUCAGGAUUUCCUAAGUUCCAUAAAUAAGUGUUGGGAGCACUGCAGUACCAACAUAGAUUCUAAGAUGAUACCAAGUAGGAAGGCUGAUUUCCUAAUGUCCAUUUCCUUACAUGCAGCAUGUACUCAACAUCGAAGUACUUAUGAAAAUGUAUUCUUUUUCUAAGCAAAAGACACACUGACUCCAAUCCUGGCUCCAAAACAGGAACUUUUUCUCUGUUUCUUGGGUAUUUUUACUCUUGUCUGAAUAUUAUUUGUGAAAAUUAACCUAAUUUACAGUUCUCCACAGGGA
RNAcentral lists this long non-coding RNA (705 nucleotides) under Suricata suricatta (meerkat). RNAcentral describes it as "lncRNA (ENSSSUG00005003520.1)". Lineage: Eukaryota; Metazoa; Chordata; Mammalia; Carnivora; Herpestidae. The record is from RNAcentral.